CUCGGCAACGGAUAUCUUGGCUCUCGCAUCGAUGAAGAACGCAGCAAAAUGCCAUACUUGGUGUGAAUUGCAGAAUCCCGUGAACCAUCAAGUUUUUGAACGCAAGUUGCGCCCGAAGCCAUUAUGCUGAGGGCACGUCUGCCUGGGCGUCACGCACAA
RNAcentral lists this ribosomal RNA (159 nucleotides) under Fraxinus profunda. RNAcentral's name for it is "5.8S ribosomal RNA". It matches the Rfam family "5.8S ribosomal RNA". From Rfam's summary of the family: 5.8S ribosomal RNA (5.8S rRNA) is a component of the large subunit of the eukaryotic ribosome. It is transcribed by RNA polymerase I as part of the 45S precursor that also contains 18S and 28S rRNA. Lineage: Eukaryota; Viridiplantae; Streptophyta; Magnoliopsida; Lamiales; Oleaceae. The record is from RNAcentral.